CAGUAGCCACGGGAAUACGUAGGUGGCAAGCGUUGUCCGGAAUUAUUGGGCGUAAAGGGCUCGCAGGCGGUUUCUUAAGUCUGAUGUGAAAGCCCCCGGCUCAACCGGGGAGGGUCAUUGGAAACUGGGAAACUUGAGUGCAGAAGAGGAGAGUGGAAUUCCACGUGUAGCGGUGAAAUGCGUAGAGAUGUGGAGGAACACCAGUGGCGAAGGCGACUCUCUGGUCUGUAACUGACGCUGAGGAGCGAAAGCCUGGGGAGCGAACAGGAUUAGAUACCCCCGUAGUCCCUGUCUCUUAUAC
Molecule: ribosomal RNA, 301 nt
Filed under: uncultured bacterium
Lineage: Bacteria
Description: partial 16S ribosomal RNA
Rfam family: Bacterial small subunit ribosomal RNA
Source: RNAcentral